GGAACGAGGAUGGAAGUGGACUCCUGUGGGAGCAAUGCCACCCUACCAGGGCCCUCAAUGCCACCCUACCAGGGCCCCCCUGUUCCUUCUGGAGGAUACCACACGUCUGUUGUUGGAGGACUCUACUACUCGGCCUUUUUUAAAUGGAUAUAAAGUGUAAUGACAAGGGUCUCCAGCCACCACAUGGAUUGGGGGUCUGUUUCUGUCUUUGGUUAUCUAGCUGUAUGAGUAUCAAAAACCUGUCAUAAAGCUAGAUAACCGAAUGUAGGAACGACUUCCAGAACAUCCAGCAGGGAAAUAAAUCUACUUUGGAAUUAAAGAUUUUCAAUUAGCGCCGUUGGAGCUGAAAAGAUGCUCCAAGCGACAAUUCGAGAGGAAAACCAGGAUGGGGUCGCAACAGCAAUGGGAUGCCAUCUGCGCCGCCAGGGAGGGACGGCGUGCCCAAUGCCAGGAGGCGCACAAAGACCUUGGCCCAUCCUCCGAUUCUGGAGGAGCCAUCUUGGGAGAUGCCAUGAUAUCUAAAAUGGCUGGGCCUGACAUACAAGGAUGGAAACUUCAAGCUGCACCAAAGUCAUCCAAAAGUCAUCAUAAAAAUUAUUGUUGUAAAGUCUUUAUUUUGUCGAAAUUGUUCAAGUGUUAUUGAGUUAUUUUCUUAUGUAAAAUGUAAAAUUUAUUAUGAAAUCUGCAAAUAAAAAGCUUCC
This is a long non-coding RNA of Doryrhamphus excisus (bluestripe pipefish), 701 nucleotides long. RefSeq lists it as uncharacterized. Lineage: Eukaryota; Metazoa; Chordata; Actinopteri; Syngnathiformes; Syngnathidae. The record is from RefSeq and is a predicted model, not a curated record.